This 214-nucleotide unclassified non-coding RNA is filed under the name Hevea brasiliensis (rubber tree). Lineage: Eukaryota; Viridiplantae; Streptophyta; Magnoliopsida; Malpighiales; Euphorbiaceae. The record is from RNAcentral.
AAGGCAUAACUCUUGCUGCGUCCGGGAGAACCGACAGCCUUCAGGGUCUCGGCGAUGAGCUUCUGAGCCCGCCGGCUCCUGAUCUCCACCCUCAUGCUCUCUGUCUUCACCACCUUGUCGUAGUGAUUCUUCUCCUUCUUCAACCGCAGCUUCGACUUCAGGCACCCCGCAAGCCUCCCAAAAGACUCCCUGAUCAUCAUUAGAUCUAUCUCGG